CGGCGUGCUAGAUUUGGAUCGUAAAACGCACCGUUUCUAAGCGCAUUGUAGCAGAUCCGAAAUAAAACCCUAGCUAGCAUCAGCGCAAACCCUAGAAGUUGGCUACACACGCUUCUUUUUAAGUAGAAGCAAGCAAUAGAGGAAGCUCAAACCACAAAAGCCACAGCCGUCUCUGGCCGCCUAAGAGCUUUUGCCUUUUGCCGAGCUUGAGAGCUUGUGCUGCUUUUAUCCUUCCUUGGAUGUCUGACACCAACUGAAAAUUACCUUGGUCUGCAAUUGUGGUUUAUGUUAUUGCUUAACUAUUUAUUGUAAUGUUUGAAUAAAUUUUGUUGAUUGGCCAAUGAUUAUUAAUUAUUUAUUUAGACAAGCAUAUGGCUGAACUUUAUGUUGACAAACUAAUCUUCUCUAUGAGGCCUAAUCCUUGCAUACCCCUUGUUUUAACAAUGUUGUUCGGUGUAUAGUUGUUUAUUUGUUAUUUGCAUGCCGCUCUGUCUUCAUUUUGUUUGGUUGAUGUCAAUAUGGUCUAAAAAGCUUUGAUUGCAUGUUUGAGUUCUUAAUGGUUGCAACUUGCAACCAUUUCAGUUACUGUAAUUUCUUAUAUGCAUUUGUGAAUUCAUAGGAAUAGAAGAUGAAAUUGAGGGGGGACUGUGAUGAUUUCUGUGAUAGGUCUCGUUCGUCGUAAUGGCAUCUUUGCCUUGCCGACCAUCCUGUUAUAUCACCACCCAUAUUCUGAGUCCCAUCUAAGUAAGCAAGCAAGCGGAUAGCAAUCUAAUAAGUAAUUCUAAUUUUUGAAGUAAAGGGUGAUAAUUUUUUACGCUUUUCGUUCAUUUUUUUCCCCUUCUGUUCUAUGAUAUCUAGGUUAAAUUUAAUGUAUCCUUUGUUUCUCUUUUAUCAUUGUCUUACUUGGUUCUUUUAAAGAAUCUGUGUUCUACUGUGUGCAGUAGAAUGAUGCAAUUGCAAAAAUAUGUUGGUUUGGCUCCCUGAGCUGUUUUUAUAUCUUUACUUGUUAACCAUUGAUAUUGCUUAUUACAAAUUUUCCUGCGAAGCACCUCCUUAUUGUAAUAUGACUAGUUGCGGAUAUGGUAAUUGGAUUGAAGCAAAUAAAUCCUAGAAAGAAAAGAGGCUUUUGUACCAAGUUCAUUAGUUUGAGGGAUACCAAACCAAGUUGUAUCACUCCUUUUCAGUUUGGAAGUCUAUUAAUACGGUUACAUAUAGUUAUAAACUCUUAAUUUUUCUAGAAUUAGUCAAGUUAUUCUGUAUCAGAUCUCAGUAUUGUGCCACUGCUGAUUCAGAUUUUAUUUCAAAUUUAGUUUCCUUUUAAUUAUUUAAGGUCUACAUUAAAUUUUGCUGGCGAUGAUGACACAAAGGCCGGACUUACGGCUGCUAUUGGUUUGGUUUGUUGGUAGUAGACUGAUGAAAGUGCAAUGAAGGUG
Molecule: long non-coding RNA, 1433 nt
Organism: Quercus robur (English oak)
Lineage: Eukaryota; Viridiplantae; Streptophyta; Magnoliopsida; Fagales; Fagaceae
Exons: 2
Source: RefSeq, a predicted model, not a curated record